Chlorocebus sabaeus (green monkey) is the source of this 618-nucleotide long non-coding RNA. RefSeq lists it as uncharacterized. NCBI's taxonomy places the organism in Eukaryota, Metazoa, Chordata, Mammalia, Primates, Cercopithecidae. The record is from RefSeq and is a predicted model, not a curated record.
GCGCAUGCGCGGCAGCUCCCGCCGCUGAAUAGCUGAGAGGCGCACUGGGGCUGCCAGCUGGGCUGGGAGUGCAGCGGGGUCAGGAUGGACAAGGACGUGUUGCACCCUGAAGAGCCUCAUCAUCGGCGAGAGUGGGGUGGGCAAGUACAGCCUGCUCUUGAGGUUCACAGAUGAUACCUUUGAUCCAGAACUUGCAGCAACAAUAGGCAGUCCACUUUACAUCGCUUUCCAGACAACUGGAAUUUGAGGCAACGUCUAUGAGAGCGAUCCCUUUGUUUUCACCUGGCGUAUGUUCUCAUCAGACUGCUUGCAGUCACAUCGUGCUUCAGAAAUGCAGGAAUCACAUGAACCUGUCCAUCCACAGAUGAAGUGGUACAGAAACUGCCAUGUUAGAUACAUGACAGUAUACUCUUCAGCCAUAAAGCUUCGGGAAACCCUGUCAUCAGCAACCACGUGGAGGAACCUGUCCAUCCACAGAUGAAGGGAUCAGGAAACUCUGGUAUAUAUACUGAAGGGAAAUGCUUUUUGGCUACCAAAAUAAUGAAAUUAUGUCAUUUGGAGCAACACAGAAGAACCUGUCCAUCCACAAAUGAAGACAUCAAGAAACUCUAGUAUGUA